AUGCAACCUGCCCCUGUCAGGGGGACAACCCGCCGAAAGGCGGGCUAAACCCGCGUACAUGCCACCGGGGCAUCCCGGAGGCAGGAAAGGCUUCGGCCGGACAGGGAUGGGCAUGCGGCGCAUUAGGCAGUAGGCGGGGUAACGGCCCACCUAACCGACGAUGCGUAGGGGUUCUGAGAGGAAGGUCCCCCACACUGGUACUGAGACACGGACCAUACUCCUACGGGAGGCAGCAGUGAGGAAUAUUGGUCAAUGGUCGGGAGACUGAACCAGCCUAGCCGCGUGAGGGAGGAAGGUACAGAGUAUCGAAAACCUCUUUUGUCAGGGAACACAGGCGGGGACGUUGUCCCCGGAUGAGUGUACCUGAAGAAAAAGCAUCGGCUAACUCCGUGCCAGCAGCCGGCGGUAAUACGGAGGAUGCGAGCGUUUAUCCGGAUUUAUUGGGUUUAAAGGGUGCGCAGGCGGUCUGUUUAAUUCACCGGUCAAAGCCCGGGGGCCUCACCCCCGGCCCGCCGUUGAAACUGGCAGUCUCGAGUUGGAGAGAAGUAUGCGGAAUGCGCGGUGUAGCGGUGAAAUGCAUAGAUAUCGCGCAGAACUCCGAUUGCGAAGGCAGCAUGCCGGCUCCACACUGACGCUGAGGCACGAAAGCGUGGGUAUCGAACAGGAUUAGAUACCCUGGUAGUCCACGCAGUAAACGAUGAAUGCUGGCUGUCCGGGGGGAUUGACCCCUGGGUGGCGAAGCGAAAGCGAUAAGCAUUCCACCUGGGGAGUACGCCGGCAACGGUGAAACUCAAAGGAAUUGACGGGGGCCCGCACAAGCGGAGGAACAUGUGGUUUAAUUCGAUGAUACGCGAGGAACCUUACCCGGGCUCAAACGGGGAGUGACUCAGGCAGAGACGCCUGUUUCCCACGGGACACUCCCCGAGGUGCUGCAUGGUUGUCGUCAGCUCGUGCCGUGAGGUGUCGGCUUAAGUGCCAUAACGAGCGCAACCCCCGCGUGCAGUUGCUAACAGAUAACGCUGAGGACUCUGCACGGACUGCCGGCGCAAGCCGCGAGGAAGGCGGGGAUGACGUCAAAUCAGCACGGCCCUUACGUCCGGGGCGACACACGUGUUACAAUGGGUGGUACAGCGGGAAGCCAGGCGGCGACGCCGAGCGGAACCCGAAAUCCACUCUCAGUUCGGAUCGGAGUCUGCAACCCGACUCCGUGAAGCUGGAUUCGAGAGUAAUCGCGCAUCAGCCAUGGCGCGGUGAAUACG
RNAcentral lists this ribosomal RNA (1259 nucleotides) under uncultured bacterium. RNAcentral describes it as "bacterial SSU rRNA". It matches the Rfam family "Bacterial small subunit ribosomal RNA", at positions 119 to 1370 of the family's 1533-position model. The record is from RNAcentral.